CCGCCUCCUCAAGAUCAGGAGGCUGAGGCGGCCACCAUGUCCCAGCGUUGUCUAUCUGCAGGGCAUGCUCAUCACCUCAUACGCCGGCAGCCACCGUAUCCAGGUGUGCGCUCAAGAUCAGACUAAUCGGCGAGAAGGUGAGCGGAGGUGUCUGAUCUGGGUUUGUAAUUUUUUGGUUUUUUGGCUCACGUUUUCUGGUUUGUUAUUUUGGUGUAAGUAGAUUGAGAGCUUGUGACGAAUGGGAAGAGCCCUGAUAAGCUUCAGGCAGCUGGAGGGAGCAAAGGCAAGCUCUUAAGAUUUUG
Molecule: long non-coding RNA, 302 nt
Filed under: Zea mays
Lineage: Eukaryota; Viridiplantae; Streptophyta; Magnoliopsida; Poales; Poaceae
Description: long non-coding RNA (ZMAY_LNC002363)
Source: RNAcentral